RNAcentral lists this ribosomal RNA (547 nucleotides) under uncultured rumen protozoa. Its description in RNAcentral is "partial 18S ribosomal RNA". The stretch from base 1 to 147 matches the Rfam family "Eukaryotic small subunit ribosomal RNA", at positions 1661 to 1831 of the family's 1831-position model. The record is from RNAcentral.
UGUACACACCGCCCGUCGCUCCUACCGAUACCGGGUGAUCCGGUGAACCUUUUGGACCUUUAUUGGAAAAAUAAGUAAACCUUAUCACCUAGAGGAAGGAGAAGUCGUAACAAGGUUUCCGUAGGUGAACCUGCGGAAGGAUCAUUUACUAAAACUAAACUAAAAACUAACUGGUUAUUAGAGAGAAAUCUCUAUUUGAAGUAAAAGAAAACAAAAUAAAUGAAAUGGUUGAGUAAAUCUAAAUUUUCAACGAUGGAUGUCUUGGCUCCCAUAUCGAUGAAGAACGCAGCAAGAAUGCGAUAUGCAGUGUGAAUUGCAGAACCAUGAAUCAUCGGAUUUUCUAACGUAACUGACACUGGCGAAGAACCAGUAUACUUGUUUCAGUGUCCCCAACCAAACACAUAAACAAAAUGUAUGAGAAGUUCUCAUAUUAAAUUAAUGCUCUUUGUAGCAAUCACAGAAAUGUGAAUCUAUAAGGAGGAUUUUUUAAUUUGACCUGAAAUCAAGUAAGAUGACCCGCUGGACUUAAGCAUAUCAAUAAGCGGAG